This 200-nucleotide unclassified non-coding RNA is filed under the name uncultured Coprinopsis. RNAcentral's name for it is "sequence contains ITS2". Lineage: Eukaryota; Fungi; Basidiomycota; Agaricomycetes; Agaricales; Psathyrellaceae. The record is from RNAcentral.
UUAAGUUCAGCGGGUAGUCUUACCUGAUUUGAGGUCAAAAAUGUCAAGUAUUGUCCGUGUAAGGGACGGUUAGAAGCAGGUUCAUAAUAGUCUUCCAAUCCACGGCGUAGAUAAUUAUCACACCAAUAGAUUAGGGGACCAAACCCACUAAUACAUUUCAGAGGAGCAGACCACAAAAGAGCGGACCUGCAAACCCCCAC